CCUACGGGGGGCUGCAGUGGGGAAUAUUGGACAAUGGGGGGAACCCUGAUCCAGCCAUGCCGCGUGUGUGAAGAAGGCCCUCGGGUUGUAAAGCACUUUCAGUGAGGAAGAACGCCUGGUGGUUAAUACCCAUCAGGAAAGACAUCACUCACAGAAGAAGCACCGGCUAACUCCGUGCCAGCAGCCGCGGUAAUACGGAGGGUGCGAGCGUUAAUCGGAAUUACUGGGCGUAAAGCGCGCGUAGGUGGCUUGAUAAGCCGGUUGUGAAAGCCACGGGCUCAACCUGGGAACGGCAUCCGGAACUGUCAAGCUAGAGUGCAGGAGAGGAAGGUAGAAUUCCCGGUGUAGCGGUGAAAUGCGUAGAGAUCGGGAGGAAUACCAGUGGCGAAGGCGGCCUUCUGGACUGACACUGACACUGAGGUGCGAAAGCGUGGGUAGCAAACAGGAUUAGAUACCCUUGUAGUC
Molecule: ribosomal RNA, 465 nt
Filed under: Vreelandella stevensii
Lineage: Bacteria; Pseudomonadati; Pseudomonadota; Gammaproteobacteria; Oceanospirillales; Halomonadaceae
Description: partial 16S ribosomal RNA
Rfam family: Bacterial small subunit ribosomal RNA
Source: RNAcentral